RNAcentral lists this ribosomal RNA (468 nucleotides) under uncultured bacterium. RNAcentral describes it as "partial 16S ribosomal RNA". It matches the Rfam family "Bacterial small subunit ribosomal RNA", at positions 28 to 507 of the family's 1533-position model. The record is from RNAcentral.
GACGAACGCUGGCGGCGUGCUUAACACAUGCAAGUCGAACGGACAGGCCCUGCUUUUGUGGGGUGCUCGAGUGGCGAACGGGUGAGUAACACGUGAGUAACCUGCCCUUGACUUUGGGAUAACUUCAGGAAACUGGGGAUAAUACCGGAUAGGAGCUCCUGCUGCAUGGUGGGGGUUGGAAAGUUUCGGCGGUUGGGGAUGGACUCGCGGCUUAUCAGCUUGUUGGGGGGGUAGUGGCUUACCAAGGCUUUGACGGGUAGCCGGCCUGAGAGGGUGACCGGCCACAUUGGGACUGAGAUACGGACCAGACUCCUACGGGCGGCAGCAGUGGGGAAUAUUGCACAAUGGGCGGAAGCCUGAUGCAGCAACGCUGCGUGCGGGAUGACGGCCUUCGGGUUGUAAACCGCUUUCGCCUGUGACGAAGCGUGAGUGACGGUAAUGGGUAAAGAAGCACCGGCUAACUACGUG